Strongylocentrotus purpuratus (purple sea urchin) is the source of this 73-nucleotide non-coding RNA. The record is from Rfam. Lineage: Eukaryota; Metazoa; Echinodermata; Echinoidea; Camarodonta; Strongylocentrotidae.
CUUCCUUCGGCAGUGUAGUUAGCUGGUUGUUUUCGACCAAUCACCAACCAGCUUGCUGCAGGGCCCCAGGAAG